This 253-nucleotide ribosomal RNA is filed under the name uncultured bacterium. RNAcentral describes it as "partial 16S ribosomal RNA". It matches the Rfam family "Bacterial small subunit ribosomal RNA", at positions 524 to 776 of the family's 1533-position model. The record is from RNAcentral.
UACGGAGGGUGCAAGCGUUGCUCGGAAUUAUUGGGCGUAAAGGGUAGGUAGGUGGUCUUAUUUGUCUAGGGUGAAAGCCUUGAGCUUAACUCAAGAAGUGCCCUAGAAACGGUAAGACUAGAGUCCUGGAGAGGGUCGUGGAAUUCCCGGUGUAGCGGUGAAAUGCGUAGAGAUCGGGAGGAACACCAGAGGCGAAAGCGGCGACCUGGACAGGAACUGACACUCAACUACGAAAGCGUGGGGAGCAAACAGG